UGCAAGUCGAACGGUAGCACAGAGAGCUUGCUCUUGGGUGACGAGUGGCGGACGGGUGAGUAAAGUCUGGGAAACUGCCUGAUGGAGGGGGAUAACCACUGGAAACGGUGGCUAAUACCGCAUAAUCUCGCGAGAGCAAAGUGGGGGACCUUAAUGGCCUCACGCCAUCGGAUGUGCCCAGAUGGGAUUAGCUUGUUGGUGGGGUAAAGGCUCACCAAGGCGACGAUCCCUAGCUGGUCUGAGAGGAUGACCAGCCACACUGGAACUGAGACACGGUCCAGACUCCUACGGGAGGCAGCAGUGGGGAAUAUUGCACAAUGGGCGCAAGCCUGAUGCAGCCAUGCCGCGUGUGUGAAGAAGGCCUUCGGGUUGUAAAGCACUUUCAGCGGGGAGGAAGGUGGUGUGGUUAACAGCCAUAUCAAUUGACGUUACCCGCAGAAGAAGCACCGGCUAACUCCGUGCCAGCAGCCGCGGUAAUACGGAGGGUGCAAGCGUUAAUCGGAAUUACUGGGCG
This 514-nucleotide ribosomal RNA is filed under the name Klebsiella sp. Arv-22-3.4a. RNAcentral describes it as "bacterial SSU rRNA". It matches the Rfam family "Bacterial small subunit ribosomal RNA", at positions 56 to 560 of the family's 1533-position model. Lineage: Bacteria; Pseudomonadati; Pseudomonadota; Gammaproteobacteria; Enterobacterales; Enterobacteriaceae. The record is from RNAcentral.